GGCCGCAUUGUUUAGUUGGUUAUAACGUAGACCUAAUAGAGCAAAACCCCUGUUAGUCUAAGGUCGGCGGUUCGAGCCCGCCUGUGGUCA
Molecule: transfer RNA, 90 nt
Filed under: Tremellales sp. Tagirdzhanova-0007
Lineage: Eukaryota; Fungi; Basidiomycota; Tremellomycetes; Tremellales
Rfam family: tRNA
About the family: Transfer RNA (tRNA) molecules are approximately 80 nucleotides in length.
Source: Rfam by way of RNAcentral